UGGCUCUCGCAUCGAUGAAGAACGCAGCGAAAUGCGAUAAGUAAUGUGAAUUGCAGAAUUCAGUGAAUCAUCGAAUCUUUGAACGCACCUUGCGCUCCUUGGUAUUCCGAGGAGCAUGCCUGUUUGAGUGUCAUGUAUUCCUCAGCUCAUUUGGAUUUUUUUUCUGAAUGAAGCUGGAUGUGGAGGCUGCUGGCAUUGUAAUAAAUGUCUGCUCCUCUUAAAUGCAUUAGUGUGAAUAUUUAUCAAAUGUUCCCCAGUGUAAUAAUCUAUUUGCGCUGUUGGUCUUUUGGUAGAACUAUAUGUUCAUGCUUCUAACUGUCUUUUUAGUAAGACAAUAUUUUAUUGCGUUUGACCUCAAAUCAGGUAGGACUACCCGCUGA
This 380-nucleotide unclassified non-coding RNA is filed under the name uncultured fungus. RNAcentral's name for it is "partial contains 5.8S ribosomal RNA and internal transcribed spacer 2". The stretch from base 1 to 133 matches the Rfam family "5.8S ribosomal RNA", at positions 22 to 154 of the family's 154-position model. Lineage: Eukaryota; Fungi. The record is from RNAcentral.